UUAAUUUGGAAGUGUGGGUCCCAUCAAUUUUUUUAAUUAUUUUUUAAAUUAAUUGAUUUUUUCUUUUCAUCAUUUUUUUUUCAUCAUUCUUUUAAUUUGGGGAUGUGGCCGCACUAUCCCUUAAAUUAAGGUAUCGUUUGGUUCGGGGAUAAGUAAAAAAUGGUUAUUCCAGAGAUAGAUAUAAAUUGAGGUAUAAGCGGGGAUUAGAUCAAUUUUGCAUUUGGUUGAAAAUUGGGCUAUUCCUGGGAAUAAAAAACAUAGCGCUUGGUUAGGUAAGAUGAAACAAGAAAGAAAGUGGGUUUUUAUAAAUAAAAAAAUAAUGAUAUUACCCUCUUAUUAUAUUUGAAUUUGAAUUUUUAAAAUUUUAAAUUUAUAUUUUUAAAUUAAAAUUUUAACUUUGAAAUUUCAAAUUUUGAAAUUAGAAUUUUUAAAUUUAAAAUCUAAAAUUUUAAAUU
Molecule: long non-coding RNA, 455 nt
Filed under: Ananas comosus (pineapple)
Lineage: Eukaryota; Viridiplantae; Streptophyta; Magnoliopsida; Poales; Bromeliaceae
Description: long non-coding RNA (ACOM_LNC010525)
Source: RNAcentral